This 492-nucleotide ribosomal RNA is filed under the name uncultured bacterium. RNAcentral's name for it is "partial 16S ribosomal RNA". It matches the Rfam family "Bacterial small subunit ribosomal RNA", at positions 29 to 507 of the family's 1533-position model. The record is from RNAcentral.
AGUGAACGCUGGCGGUAGGCCUAACACAUGCAAGUCGAACGGCAGCACAGUAAGAGCUCGCUCUUACGGGUGGCGAGUGGCGGACGGGUGAGGCAUACAUCGGAAUCUACUUUUUCGGGGGGGAUAACGUAGGGAAACUUACACUAAUACCGCAUACGACCUACCGGUGAAAGCAGGAGAUCUUCGGACCUUUCCCGAUUGAAUUAGCCGAUGUCGGAUUAGCUAGUUGGCAGGGUAAAGGCCCACCAAGGCGACGAUCCGUAGCUGGCCUGAGAGGAUGGUCGGCCCAACUGGAACUGGGAAACGGUCCAGACUCCUACGGGAGGCAGCAGGAGGGAAUUUUCCGCAAUGGGGGAAAGCCUGACGCAGCAACGCCGGGGGGGUGAUGAAGGUCUUCGGGUCGUAAAACUCUUUUAUUAGGGAAGAAAAAAUGUGUAAGUAACCACGCACGUCUUGACGGUACCUAAACAGAAAGCCACGGCUAACUUCGUG